Molecule: long non-coding RNA, 1043 nt
Organism: Antechinus flavipes (yellow-footed antechinus)
Lineage: Eukaryota; Metazoa; Chordata; Mammalia; Dasyuromorphia; Dasyuridae
Exons: 2
Source: RefSeq, a predicted model, not a curated record
CUGCCUGUUCAAAUCUUUUCACCAUUUAUCAAAUGGCAUGGUCAUUAUUGAUAAUUAUUGAAAUGGGCUGCUCUUCUACAGUUAUGGUGUAAGCAAGAGAAAAUAAGUAAUGGAGAAACAAAAAACCUUCUAUCUAACAUGUCUAUCUGAGCUUGAAAGUCACAAGUGAAUAUGCCCCUAUGUAUUAUAAAAUCAUCAAGCACUAAGAAUCCUAUCCAGAAGAUACAUUUUCCCACCCUCAUGGAGAUCUAAGACUGAUUUGUGAUCAAUGGCACAUAUAGAACUGAGGGGAGCAACAAUAGAAUAAAAGAAGUUGUCUGGGGUAUGAUAAUAAAUGUUUAAUAACCAGCUUUUGGGUGGGUGGAGAUAUGUAUGCAGGACACAUUUCAAGAUUUAAUUUAUAUUAUUAACAUUUUUGCUAUUACUUUCUUAAGACUAGAAAAUGAAUGAAACAUGAUUUGUCACAUUUGCUGAUUUCCAAGGUGUAAAUAAUCACACUGAACAUCUGACAAUUGGAGAGCUAGAGAUCACUUCAGCACACCCCUAGCUAAAGGAAACUUAUUGAAGCUCUGACCUUUGGACUUCCUGUGACCGACUAACUCAAGAUAUGACGCACCAACAUUUGGUGAAAUUGAAGGUGUGACUUUGAGUUGUCCCCAAUCAAUCAAGCAAAUCACACAUAUCAUGAUUCAUCCUUAGCAUGGAUGGAUUCUCACAGAAGAGAAGAGUUGGGUUGGUCAAGUUCAAGGAUGCUUAUUGUAGCAGCAUUCAGUUAAAAACACUCCUCUCUAAGAGUCCUCACUGUUCUUCCACUAGAAUUAUUUUGUGGUUAUAAUUUAAUUAAAAUUACUAUUGAGCUCUGUCUCUGUGAGGCUUUUGAAAUGAAACCACUGUAAAGAGUGUCAUCCUACCUCAGACAUGCUACAAAAGAAAAAAUGCAGAAGAUGAUACAAAUAUGCUAUCCAAAGACCACUAUUAACAGAGGCUACAUACAAUCUUAACAUAAAGAAAAGAAAGAAUAAAGGCCACACACAUUCAACACA